Bombus terrestris (buff-tailed bumblebee) is the source of this 595-nucleotide long non-coding RNA. RefSeq lists it as uncharacterized. The record is from RefSeq and is a predicted model, not a curated record. NCBI's taxonomy places the organism in Eukaryota, Metazoa, Arthropoda, Insecta, Hymenoptera, Apidae. The transcript has 2 exons.
UUUCAUAUAAACACGGUAAAUUAAGUACAGAUACACUCUCAGUUGCUUCUCUAUUAAUUUAAUUCGAUUGUGUGACUGCUCUUAAAUAGUGUUGUCCCCAUUUCUUUCAAUCGCAUUGUAAAAUGCAAUUCUUGUUUGAAGCGAUGUUAAUUCGUUCUGAAAUUUAAAUAAAUUUUAUGAUUAUUUCAUUACAAAGCUAGCGAGUUAUGACAAAGCAGAGGACGAUAGAUAAAGCACAAAUUAGCUAGCUUCUGAAUUCCAUGAAAUACAUGCAGAUAAGCUUAUAAAAUUAAAUGCAGACAAAACAAUACGGGUGACUGAUUAAUAACCAUAAAAAUGUGUGAACGAACCCAAAAAGUGAUAUAGGAAUAGGAAGAGAACACUGCAUAAAGGCCACUUGUGUCCUUGUCUAAUAAAUCAUGCACAUUCGUGCAGUAAAGUAUAACGUGUAAGUCUAACACCGAUUAACGAGCGGCGUUAGUGUGCAUAUUUAAUUAGACAAGGACAGAGGGGUUCUUUUUCUCAUAUGACUCGCGUUCUCUUACAACAUAAUGUAAUAAUAAACAAUAAAGUAAUUAAUAAAAAAUGAAAUAAA